RNAcentral lists this ribosomal RNA (444 nucleotides) under uncultured fungus. RNAcentral describes it as "eukaryotic LSU rRNA". The stretch from base 68 to 221 matches the Rfam family "5.8S ribosomal RNA". The record is from RNAcentral. Lineage: Eukaryota; Fungi.
GAACCGUGCCCUUCGGGGCUAUUUUACAAACAUGGUGUAAUGAACGUCAUAUAUCAUAACAAAACAAAACUUUCAACAACGGAUCUCUUGGCUCUCGCAUCGAUGAAGAACGCAGCGAAAUGCGAUAAGUAAUGUGAAUUGCAGAAUUCAGUGAAUCAUCGAAUCUUUGAACGCACCUUGCGCCCUCUGGUAUUCCGGAGGGCAUGCCUGUUUGAGUGUCAUGUAGACUCAAUCCCUCGGGUUUCCGAGGAGAUUGGACUUGGGUGUUGCCGCUCUGCCGGCUCGCCUUAAAAGACUUAGCGGGAUAGCACCGUAGUCGGCGUAAUAAGUUUCGUCGGUGAAGGUUGUGAUGACUGCUUACAAUCGCCCUCGGGCAAUUUUUGACUCUGACCUCAAAUCAGGUAGGACUACCCGCUGAACUUAAGCAUAUCAAUAAGCGGAGGA